Molecule: ribosomal RNA, 468 nt
Filed under: uncultured bacterium
Lineage: Bacteria
Description: partial 16S ribosomal RNA
Rfam family: Bacterial small subunit ribosomal RNA
Source: RNAcentral
GACGAACGCUGGCGGCGUGCUUAACACAUGCAAGUCGAACGGAAAGGCCCUGCUUUUGUGGGGUGCUCGAGUGGCGAACGGGUGAGUAACACGUGAGUAACCUGCCCUUUACUUUGGGAUAACUUCAGGAAACUGGUGCUAAUACCGGAUAGGAGCUCCUGCUGCAUGGUGGGGGUUGGAAAGUUUCGGCGGUUGGGGAUGGACUCGCGGCUUAUCAGCUUGUUGGUGGGGUAGUGGCUUACCAAGGCUUUGACGGGUAGCCGGCCUGAGAGGGUGACCGGCCACAUUGGGACUGAGAUACGGCCCAGACUCCUACGGGAGGCAGCAGUGGGGAAUAUUGCACAAUGGGCGGAAGCCUGAUGCAGCAACGCCGCGUGCGGGAUGACGGCCUUCGGGUUGUAAACCGCCUUCGCCUGUGACGAAGCGUGAGUGACGGUAAUGGGUAAAGAAGCACCGGCUAACUACGUG